Molecule: long non-coding RNA, 1832 nt
Organism: Xiphophorus couchianus (Monterrey platyfish)
Lineage: Eukaryota; Metazoa; Chordata; Actinopteri; Cyprinodontiformes; Poeciliidae
Exons: 5
Source: RefSeq, a predicted model, not a curated record
AAAUUUGAAGGAAUUUUCCAUUAUUUUUUUUUAACAGGUAUUUGUAUUUUAUUUUAAAUUUUACGCAUUGCAUCAUGGGAACAAGAAACUUUGCGAAGCGCGAAAACUGGUCAGAGAACAUUUCAAGCUCUGGCUAACCGGACCCCAGAACAUCUAUCUUUUGGACUCCGGUUGGAUUAAGAGUUGGAAUAAUCUUUCUGGCACCUCCGUGAAAGUGGACAUACUGUCGAUAUAACCACACAGCAAAAAAAGAGACCUUUUCAGGAAACAACAUCAGCUGCAGCAGCAAUGGGGACCUAUUGAAGUACACGCUGAAACAUUGUUUUGUCAGCGUCAUAUUUCUCGCCUUGUUUUACGGAUUUGCCAGCAUUAUUGCUCCUCUUACCAUGGACCCUCCACCAUAAACGCAGUUUCUGUCCCAGGACGUGAAGAUGAGGGAAGACAAAUACAGGAAGUGAAGAAUGUGCUGAUUGUCCUGCAGAAUAAGAUGGACUACCUACUUCCAUCAGGAGAUUUGUUGCCCAACUUUGCUAAUAUCACAAGGGGAGGACUCGCCUAAAUCCAGGAGAGUGCUGGGCCUUUGAAGGUUCCCAGGGACAUUUAGCCAUCACCUUGUCUCACAGAGUCGUUAUCAGUCACGUCACCUUGGGUCACCUGCCUAACAUGUUGUCCCCGACUGGUAACACCUGGAGUGCUCCCAAGGAGUUUUCUGUUUAUGUAAGCCACAGAUAUCUGAAUAUUAAACAGCAGCACUCAGUCUAACUUUCAAAGAUAUUUAUAAAGAUAUUUGUCUAAUUUUGUUUUGCAGGAAAUGAGGGAGUACGAACCUGGACUCACCUGGGAACUUUUUUGUAUGAGGAGGAUGGAGAUCAACACCAGCUGAGCUGGGUCUGUGUAUUUUCAGGUAGCUCUCUUUUUUCGUUUGGAAAAAAAAGAACUGCCUUGAUAACAAGAAUACACUCGUUUUUUCGUUUAUUAAAUCAAACUCGGAAAUCGAAUAACGGCUCGUAACAAUUAAUGUCUCGCUUAUUUGGAAAUUCGAACCAAGAGGGUUGUCACAAAAUCAUAAAAAGAUGAAAGAAGACAAUGAAAAAAAAGUACAACUAAUAGGACAUGCAUUUUGUGUAGCAUAGACAACACAUUCUGUAGAGAAGUUUGUUUUUAUUUGUAAUCAUACCAUGAGUGAACAUAUCUUAUGAAAUAGAGACCAGAACAAGAGAGCAGUCCAGAUGUCAUGCAUGGGUACAACUUCGACAACCAAGACUUACUGCUAGCCCUUUCCAUGAUGCUUGCAGAGAAGUCUGCUGCCACAGCACUGGCAUCUAGGAUGAUCAGAGGGUCUACUAGACAAACUGCCGUCAUGAAGCGUGGUCUGCAGAUGGAGUCUGAGGUGCUGGCAAACUAUGCUGAGAUAUUGAGGGUCAAUGUGCUCCCUGUGAGAUUCAUUGUUCACCCUGACACAUCAUAUCUUGGUGCAACUCCAGUAGGCAAGCUGUAUAUCCUGUCAGAAUCACCCCCGAUUGGACUGGUUGAGGUAAAAAGCAGUAUGAAGAAUGAUGUGUCUCAGGUUGCUCACCUCAAGGUUCAGGAUGGCCAUGCCAUUUUGAGGCGUUCACACGCAUACUCCUGGCAGGUACAGGGUCAGCUGGCAAUCACCGGAUUGGAAUGGUGCAACUUUGUCACGGACACGCUAACAACAGUAACUGUUGAGCGGGUGUGGCGUGAUGAGUCUUUCAUUGAUCAAAUGAAAUCUAAACUAGACUUAUUUUACUUCAACACCUUCAUUGAUGUGUUCAUGUCAAUGCAAUAAGAAUUAUAAAAUGUGUAAUUUA